UACGUAGGGGGCAAGCGUUGUCCGGAUUUAUUGGGCGUAAAGAGCGUGUAGGCGGCCAUACAGGUCAGCUGUGAAAACUCGAGGCUCAACCUCGAGACGUCGGUUGAAACCGUAUGGCUAGAGCCCGGAAGAGGAGAGUGGAAUUCCCGGUGUAGCGGUGAAAUGCGCAGAUAUCGGGAAGAACACCCGUGGCGAAGGCGGCUCUCUGGGACGGUACUGACGCUGAGACGCGAAAGCGUGGGGAGCGAACAGG
This 253-nucleotide ribosomal RNA is filed under the name uncultured bacterium. Its description in RNAcentral is "partial 16S ribosomal RNA". It matches the Rfam family "Bacterial small subunit ribosomal RNA", at positions 524 to 776 of the family's 1533-position model. The record is from RNAcentral.